This 29-nucleotide small RNA is filed under the name Bombyx mori (domestic silkworm). RNAcentral describes it as "ovarian small RNA-25403". Lineage: Eukaryota; Metazoa; Arthropoda; Insecta; Lepidoptera; Bombycidae. The record is from RNAcentral.
UCACUCGAAAUUAAAACUCAAAACUUUGC